Molecule: ribosomal RNA, 979 nt
Filed under: Microcotyloides incisa
Lineage: Eukaryota; Metazoa; Platyhelminthes; Monogenea; Mazocraeidea; Microcotylidae
Description: eukaryotic LSU rRNA
Rfam family: Eukaryotic large subunit ribosomal RNA
Source: RNAcentral
GUUUAGGUUAGCGUUUUGAUUCGUUGCUCUGUUUAAAGUCCAUUCUUGAAUAUGGCUAUUAGUUUGGCCCAGAGAGGGUGAAAGGCCCGUGUAGAUGGAGCGACGUUUCCCUGCGUUAACUAUGGAGUCGGGUUGUUUGAGAAUGCAGCCCAAAGUUGGUGGUAAACUCCAUCUAAGGCUAAAUACUGGCACGAGUCCGAUAGCGAACAAGUACCGUGAGGGAAAGUUGAAAAGUACUCUGAAGAGAGAGUUAACAGUGCGUGAAACCGCUUAGAAGCAAACGGGUGUAGUCAAGCUGCAAGCCUCUAGAAAUAGGCGGGCCAGAAUGGCGUGAGUCUGAGCACAUAGAACUUACAGAUAAAUCCGGCUUUUUGUCGGAGUUGGCUCGCAAGGGCUGACCUUAUCUGUUGGGUGUUCUACUGGCCCUCUCAAUUUCUUUUGGCGUAUGUCACGAUCGUCUUUGCUGUCGGUCUGCUCCAUUUAAACCGUUUCGUGAGUAGCUACGUGUUACUUGCGUUUCGGAGGCAGGUAGCUGAUCUGAUUUCGGUUGGAUUAGUGUUACAGCUGAGUGGAGUGGUAUCUGUAACUGUGCAGUAAGAUGUGGCUGGCGGUGCAUUGUUGCUGGGCGCGCUAAGGCAUGUGGGCGUGGUUGGCGUAUGGCUGCUUGUUGCUGUUUUUAACAGCCUGGUGGUUGCCCGACCUCGGUUUUAUGUGCGGCUGCGUCUGGUCAAUCUUUGCGUUGUGCCUACAGUCAGUGGCGUAGUGGUAGACGAUCCACCCGACCCGUCUUGAAACACGGACCAAGGAGUUUAACAUGUACGCGAGUCAAUGAGUAUGUACGAAACUCAUAGGCGUAGUGAAAGUGAAUGGUGGCUUUUCGCCUCCUGAGGUGAGAUCCUGCUGUUUCUCCGGUUUUGUUGAUCAGACUAUUGAGCAGUAGGCGCAUCACCGGCCCGUCCCAUGAUGUAGUGCGGUUACU